Molecule: long non-coding RNA, 1985 nt
Organism: Pyrus x bretschneideri (Chinese white pear)
Lineage: Eukaryota; Viridiplantae; Streptophyta; Magnoliopsida; Rosales; Rosaceae
Exons: 2
Source: RefSeq, a predicted model, not a curated record
CACCUUGACGAUACAAGGGCAGAGGAUAUUCGUCACUCAUGCUAUUAAAGGAAGAAAUCUAAAAAAUUAUGAAGUACGAAAAUAAAUAUUUACAAGGCAGCUUGGGAAAAAGAAAACAAAAAGAAUAUAUAUGAAGAAUCGCAGAAGCACAACAUUCGCACGCCAAGCCCCAACCAAUUCUCAGCAGCCCAAAAGUUUAGCUUUUCCUCCAUCGUGGGCCAAAUAAUAGGAGCUCAGCAACAUGCCAGGCCUUAUGACAUGGUCCAUUUUUUCUCUUUCUCGUGCUUAGCCAAGCCCAAGGUUCUCUCGACCUAGUUUGUUAGAGGGGAGCGAGUGCCCAUAGCCUCUCUCCCUCUCCUUCACCUCCAACGGGCCCAAGCCCAGCUCAGCGCCCCCGUGCAUUCGGCCCAUGCUAACGCACGCUGAGCCCUAGCUCGCACCACCAGCACCUCAGAGAAACUAACUUAGGCAUUGAAGAUCCAUUAGCCUAACCCCACAUUCCCUCCAAAACCCACCUCGUGGGCGCUUGAGGUUUAGGUCUUUGAUCAAAGGUGUUGAUUGUUUUGUACGUACAUUUCAUCAAGAUUGAAGACGACGAAAAUUUGCUACCAUACACAUGUCAUUUAAUGAGUAUGAAAGAUAAAUUCGCGAAGGUAAGAGACAUAAGCGAAUCCAUCAUGGACUUGGUUGGUCCCAGAAGUUCGAAGAAAUGCAUGUAAGGAUUUUUGAGGAUCACCCAACGAUCUUGGUAGCUGGUGGAAGAAAGAAGACCACCAUGGCUGUGCAUGUUGUGUAACACAAGCUUUAAACCAAUAACAAAUAUAUAUAUAUAUAUAUUUUUUUUUUUUUAGACGAAGAGGAACACAUAGAAGAUUAUCAUGGUCUUGUUGUUCUUAGACCUUUGUUCCAACGAAGAAAAACUUUCUCUCUCCAUUUCUAAAGUGACUAACUCCCCAUUUUUCUUUUUUGUUUUUUAAUUGUUGUCUAAUCAGGUUGUGCCACCUAACAUUUAAUUAAUAAAUUGAUGGUGUAUUACUAAACAAAUACUUUUUAUACAAUAUGUUUGACACCGUUAUUUUUUUUUAAUUCACUAUAAAUUUAUACGAUAUUUGAAAAAUAUUUCGUAAAGUGCUACGAACAUGUAAUCACUUGAACUUUCAUCUCAUAACUUCAAAUUCACUAAAAUGUUAAAGCAAAUUUUUUGAUAUUUUUAUAUGUUAUAUGUUAAACAAUAAACCUAAAAUAAUAAAUUUAAAUUCUCAACACAAGUAUAGUUUUAUUUAUUUAUUUAUUUAUUUAUUUUUUAUUUUUUUUUUAUGUGUAAACAUAUACUAUUUAUAUGAUAUAAUAAAUUAAAUUAAAUUUGCCUAUUCCGCUUAGAUCCGUCUAGGUGCAUAGGUGCUAGGCCACAAUCUGCCGCCCGACUAGCACCUAACAUACCUUGAUUAGGACUACCCGGUGUUAGAAUCUUGGAUCUCACCACUGGUUGAAGGUCAAUGUAAUUCCUCUAAAAUCUUACUCUUAGUCCUUACUCUUUCCACUAGACUUUCACUGAAGCCAUCUCCAACCGAAAUGACUAGACAUGGCCUCCCCAUGGAGAAUUAUAGGCUUGCAAAAUAGAAUCUUUAAACAAACAGUAUCAAGUCAUACUCAUAUACUAUCUUCAACCGAAAAGGCUAAACAUAGUCUUCUCAAUAAUUUAUUAGUUUUAAGUUUAUACCUUAAAUUUGUUGGUUAAUUUAAUUAAACUACUGUUGAACGUUUUCAAAUCUAACCAUUGAAUUUUAAUUAAUUAUUGCAAUUGGUGUGGCUACAUUUGGCUAGCCUGAUACCUUAUUGGCCAAAUAAUGACUUGAUAAAUUCCAUCAAAUUAUAGAUCAGCCAUCGAUUGGGAAUUAAUUUUUAGGCUAAGGUCAUUUUUUGGCUUUUGAUUUUUUAGCUCUCUUUAUUAGACAUAGGGCUGGUUCAGUAUGGGAUACCGAACC